AGAGUUUGAUCCUGGCUCAGAUUGAACGCUGGCGGCAUGCCUUACACAUGCAAGUCGAACGGCAGCACGGGGGCAACCCUGGUGGCGAGUGGCGAACGGGUGAGUAAUACAUCGGAACGUGUCCUGUAGUGGGGGAUAGCCCGGCGAAAGCCGGAUUAAUACCGCAUACGAUCUACGGAAGAAAGCGGGGGAUCCUUCGGGACCUCGCGCUAUAGGGGCGGCCGAUGGCAGAUUAGCUAGUUGGUGGGGUAAAGGCCUACCAAGGCGACGAUCUGUAGCUGGUCUGAGAGGACGACCAGCCACACUGGGACUGAGACACGGCCCAGACUCCUACGGGAGGCAGCAGUGGGGAAUUUUGGACAAUGGGGGAAACCCUGAUCCAGCAAUGCCGCGUGUGUGAAGAAGGCCUUCGGGUUGUAAAGCACUUUUGUCCGGAAAGAAAACUUCUGCCCUAAUACGGCGGGAGGAUGACGGUACCGGAAGAAUAAGCACCGGCUAACUACGUGCCAGCAGCCGCGGUAAUACGUAGGGUGCGAGCGUUAAUCGGAAUUACUGGGCGUAAAGCGUGCGCAGGCGGUCGUAAGACAGAUGUGAAAUC
Molecule: ribosomal RNA, 598 nt
Filed under: uncultured beta proteobacterium
Lineage: Bacteria; Pseudomonadati; Pseudomonadota; Betaproteobacteria
Description: bacterial SSU rRNA
Rfam family: Bacterial small subunit ribosomal RNA
Source: RNAcentral